Molecule: ribosomal RNA, 253 nt
Filed under: uncultured bacterium
Lineage: Bacteria
Description: partial 16S ribosomal RNA
Rfam family: Bacterial small subunit ribosomal RNA
Source: RNAcentral
UACGUAGGGACCAAGCGUUGUUCGGAUUUACUGGGCGUAAAGGGCGCGUAGGCGGCAUGACAAGUCACUUGUGAAAUCUCUGGGCUUAACCCAGAACGGCCAAGUGAUACUGUCACGCUAGAGUGCGGAAGGGGCAAUCGGAAUUCUUGGUGUAGCGGUGAAAUGCGUAGAUAUCAAGCGGAACACCAGUGGCGAAGGCGAGUCCCUGGACAACUCCUGACACUGAUGCACGAAAGCUAGGGGAGCAAACAGG